RNAcentral lists this ribosomal RNA (504 nucleotides) under uncultured bacterium. RNAcentral describes it as "bacterial SSU rRNA". It matches the Rfam family "Bacterial small subunit ribosomal RNA", at positions 25 to 518 of the family's 1533-position model. The record is from RNAcentral.
CAGGAUGAACGCUAGCUACAGGCUUAACACAUGCAAGUCGAGGGGCAGCAUAAUCGAAGCUUGCUUGAUUGAUGGCGACCGGCGCACGGGUGAGUAACGCGUAUCCAACCUUCCCCUUAGUAGGGCAUAGCCCGGCGAAAGUCGGAUUAAUACCCUAUGUUAUCCGUCGAGGGCAUCCGAAAUGGAUUAAAGAUUUAUCGCCAAGGGAUGGGGAUGCGUCUGAUUAGGUUGUUGGCGGGGUAACGGCCCACCAAGCCUACGAUCAGUAGGGGUUCUGAGAGGAAGGUCCCCCACAUUGGUACUGAGACACGGACCAAACUCCUACGGGAGGCAGCAGUGAGGAAUAUUGGUCAAUGGGCGAGAGCCUGAACCAGCCAAGUAGCGUGCCAGGAUGACGGCCCUAUGGGUUGUAAACUGCUUUUGCAUGGGAAUAAAGUCGGGGACGUGUCCCCGUUUGUAUGUACCAUGAGAAUAAGGACCGGCUAAUUCCGUGCCAGCCGCAGC